This 338-nucleotide ribosomal RNA is filed under the name Psilota rubra. RNAcentral's name for it is "partial 16S ribosomal RNA". Lineage: Eukaryota; Metazoa; Arthropoda; Insecta; Diptera; Syrphidae. The record is from RNAcentral.
AUCGAGGUCGCAAUCUUUUUUAUCAAUAUGAACUCUCCAAAAAAAUUACGCUGUUAUCCCUAAAGUAACUUAAAUUUUUAAUCAUUAAAAAUGGAUCAAUUAUUCAUAAAUUAAUGAAAUUAAAUCUUAAAAGUUAUUCAAAUUUUAAUAUCACCCCAAUAAAAUAUAUUUAUUAUAUUAUAAUUAAAUUUAUCUAUAAAAUUAAAAUAUUAAAUAUAUAAAGAUUUAUAGGGUCUUCUCGUCUUUUAAAUAAAUUUUAGCUUUUUGACUAAAAAAUAAAAUUCUAUUAUAAAUUUAAAUGAAACAGUUAAUAUUUCGUCCAACCAUUCAUUCCAGCC